GUUCAAAAGAGUAGCGAUAUGGGAACUAGGAGAUUCCACGGUGCUUUUCAACAUCUAUUCGAAAAGCCACUUAGAAUCUUGCAUGAAAUAAUUAUUGACUUAUUGCUUAUAUUAUUCCGAACAGUUUAAGAAUUUGGAAAAAUAGUUGAGGAGAACACUAUUACUGAGGGAUUUUUGAAUGGUGGCUCUUCAAUAGGCAAGGCAAGAUUAUGAAUUAUUCAAGAUUAUUGAGCUUGGAUUAAGUAAUCAAUUUCAUAGCAUCAACUACAAGAAAUCAACAGGUGUAGGAGGUGUAGAUGCUAGUCAUUCAGUCCUGUAGAGGCAGGAGCACCAGCAGAGUUUAAGAAAUGGGGAUGUAAAAUCAGACUGCCCUGUACCAAGCACUUGGAGUGAUUCUUCUUCCAAAGUCUUGUUUUCUUAAACUAUGGAGUAUGUAUCCUGUCUAGUUUUACCUCUUUUCAGCUCCCCAAGAACCAAUAUCAAUUCAGACAUUAUGGCUUAGCAAAACUCUAGUGUGAUUUGUAUCAGUAUUGCCACUCCAGAUGUGAGAAAUCAUUAUUACCCUCAUGCUAAAUAGUGCCAGUUAAGAGUUAUCUACACAUCAUGGCAUGGGUCACUAUCGUGUUGAUCUUUCUGACUAUUAUCUCUUUUCCCCAAUUAGAUUCUCCUUGCCAUUGUGGCUCUAGAAAUCUCCUUGUGGAUAAUGCACCAUCUCUAGGACUGCAUCCUCUGCAGGCACUACUUGAUUCAGGAUUUUCUCUUCCUAUCAUGGUUGUGUAGUAAAAUAUGAUAUGGAAGUGAACAUUGACAUAUCACAUAUUUUUCUUUUUUCUUUUUUUUUUCUUUUCUUUUUUUCGGAGCUGGGACUGAACCCAGGGCCUUGCGCUUGCUAGGCAAGUGCUCUACCACUGAGCUAAAUCCCCAAACCCCAUAGCACAUCUUUUUAAAAAUAAUAGUCAUCAUCAAAUUAGCUAUGAGUGCAUGUCAAUGAUGUAUGUGAAAGCUCACUACAUAUGUAAGGAUCAGUUCGUUAUAUAUCUGUUUAUGUUGCUUGUUUCUAACUCCAUGGAAAGUUAUAAUAAGAAGGAAGAAUCAGUAGCUGUUGACUCUCAGAGAGACCGUCAGCCUAGUCUUCUGGAAAUCAGAUAGGAAUAUGAUGGACUCCAAAAAUACAAUAAUUGUGUGGGAAUAUCUAACCUCAUCUAUUAGCUGUAGUUCAUAAUUCUAAUGAUUUCUUUGGAUUUCUACAAAUAACUAUUUUUUAUACUGAACUAUACUUGAACUAUACUCUCAGCCACACAACUAAUAUCUUGGGGAGGGUAGAUGUUACAGCUUGUAAAAGAUUUUCCAAGCAUGGUUCCAUAACUGUUUCUGUUCCCACGAAAAAUCAGGAGACACUUAGAUGAGUAUCCAGGCUCUCACAUACAACUGUUACAUACAGCUCUGUCCUAAAUUAACAUGUCCUCAGACAGAUGAAGCAUAAUUAUAAAGACUAAUAGAGAAAAGAUACAUAUAUGUAGAUAUGUUUCUAUACAACUAUGGACCCUGAUUUUGAUACAUUUUUGUAAUGUAAAAGGGGCAUUGUGAAAGGGGUAGUGAGGGGAAAGGUAUGCCUGCAAACCUUAGAUACAUAUAUGUAGAUAUGUUACUAUAGAACUAUUGAUCCUGAUUUUGACCCAUUUCUGUAAUGUAGAAGGGGCAUUGUGAAAGGGGUAGUGAAUAGAAAGGUAUGCCUGGGAUAAGUACCUUAAAGGAAAAAAAAAGUCUGAAGAUAGUGAAGAAAAGGUGCUUUGGCAACUAGCUGAUCUUGAACCUUAUAUUUAACCCCCUUGAAAGCUUUUUUUUUUAAAUCUUUAUUAACUUGAGUAUUUCUUAUUUACAUUUCAAUUGUUAUUCCCCUUCCUGGUUUCCAGGCCAACAUCCCUAUAGCCCCUGCCCCACCCCUUCCCUAUUGGUGUUCCCCCUCCCCAUCCUCCCUCCAUUACCGCCCUCCCCUCAACAAUCAUGAUCCCUGGGGGUUCAGUCUUGGGAGGACCAAGGGCUUCCCCUUCCACUGGUGCUCUUACUAGGAUAUUCAUUGCUACCUAUGAGGUCAAAGUCCAGGGUCAGUCCAUGUAUAGUCUUUGUGUAGUGGCUUAGUCCCUGAAUGCUCUGGUUGGUUGGCAUUGUUGUCAGGGUCCGGCGGUCUCUGGCAGGGGUCCUGCCGCUCCUGGGCCCUCCCCCACGGGAGCCCAGAGGCCUUAUACAGUUUCCUCUUGGGCCAGGGAUGUGGGCAGGGGUGAGCAGUGUUGGUGGUCUCUUCCGCUCUGCAGCCUCAGGAGUGCCCACCUGACCAGGCGGUUGGGUCUCUCUCUCACAGGGUCAAGUCGGGCAUUCAGAUCUCCUCUCACAGCCGUUCUUCAACUUUUAACCUUGAUGUUCAGGACUCAUCAUGGAAAUUUGGUCUGUAACUCAAAAUGACAAUGAAAGAGAGGUGUGGGCCAAUUGCAUGAAGUCAAUUAAACAUUAUGAGAAAUAAUUUUACAACAUGUAUAUCUUAGAUUAAAUAAUAGAUAACUUCCUUCUUUACAUUCUAAUUCUCUGGUUAACAGACAAGAGGAAAUAGCAGCAGAACCAAGAGAGGAGUUGUUUCCCUGAGCUUGGUUUACCUUCCAGCUAGAUGGAGAAAUUAUUCCUGAGAUGUCUAGAUUCAGACAACUCUUGGACUGAAUUAUUCCUAAGGUUUUGAAUACAAAGUCAGCAGUGCCAGCAAAUAAAUAUAAUGUAGAAAAUGACUUGAGUGUGUAAGAAGGGAAGGUUCUGUUUCUUCGUAGAUGGCAUUUGUUGUGGACAUAGGGAUUUGACUUUUCUGGAACAAUAACAGACGCUGGUACAAGCUAAUCAUUUUUCUCCCAUAGAAAGUCAGAAAGAGAAGCAUGAAUAUGCUGGUUCAAAUGUUCUAACCACAGUGCUGAUGUGUAGAUGAAGAUCUGGGUUUUAAUUUUCUGUCAGCUUCAUCUGGGAUAAAAAAUAUGACAUCUAAGGUAGCCUGCAGUCAACAACUCCAGUGCAGAAUGGACCCUGAAGAGGAAUUCAAGCACCAACAGAGCCUAUGCAACCACAUCUUGUAUAUAAUUCAUCUGCAUGGUCACAAAUAGAAAGUGAAGAUCAACCACAAUGACUUCAAAUGGGACUCUAUUCUGCAGAUGCUUAUCUUCAGAUCUCAGCCUGGACAUGAUUUGCAAUAGUGCAGACAAAGACUAUAUUUAAACAAUUUUAGAGUUAUGGAGGUUUGCUGUGACGUAUGGAGGUUGAUAAAGCAGAACUGAGUUCCCUGACCUGGGUGAUACUUCUUUCUGAAAGAAAUUUCUAAGAAAAAAAUGGAGAAAAGAACCUGGUCACACAGGCCAGAAGACUCUGAAGGACUCCCAAGACUGCUGGUUAAUUCUAGCCUGAUUCUCAGCAAAGUCACAAUAUUCAGACUUCCAAUUAAGAAACAUGGGUGGUUUUAACACCACCUUCUGAAGAUUAUACCUAUAUAACAUGUCUGCAGAGACCUCAGAAAGAUAAACAUGAAUAUGCUGCCUCAAAUCUUUUCACCACAGUGCUGAUGUGUAGAUGAAGAUCUGGGUUUUAAUUUUCUGUCAGCUUCAUCAGGGAUAAAAAAAUAUGACAUCCAAGGAUCCUCCAUGAAGAGCCACCAAGAAAGUCUUCACCUACAGAGCUUCCUUCUACACCCUCAUGGAAGGAUUCCCUGUGCUCCUAGUAGCACCCACCACUAAACUCAAGCCUACCACCAUCCAGAAAGGACUCGCCCAGUGGGACCAGCUGGAGCUCCACCCCAUCCCCCAUCCCCGGCCUAGAUCCAGCCUCUGAGCCUCCAUUUCAUUCUCAGCUCUUCUGAGGCAUUCCAGGGGUGACUGGAUGCCCAAGAGCCUGAGAACCAGAUGGCUCCGGCGUCUUUGCAGACUUGGGACCUGACCUGAGAGCCAGCUCGGGCUGUUUCCAGUACUCAGACUAUGCUUCCCCACACACCCCAGAGGGGUGUCCCACAGCUUUCCACAGCUCAACACCGGCCUGGUGACAGCAUGGAGUAGUGUGAUCAAACUUCCUGCAUCCAGCCUUCCAGAGACUAAUCCUACAGCAUCUCAGUUGUUUGAUUUUCAUUUCCCUGAUGAUUAAGCAUGUUGAACAUUUCUUUAAGUGCUUCUUGGAUAUUCAAGAUUACUCAGUUGAAAAUUUUCUGUUUAAUUUUAUAACAUUUUUUUAAAUUCGAUUAUUUGUUGUUUUGGUGUCUAACCUUUUGAUUCUUUAUAUAUAUUGGAUAUUAGCCCUUUGUCAGAUAGCGACUUGGUGAAGAUCUUUUCUCAUGUUUAGGCUACUGUUUUGUCUUCUUUAGAGUAUCUAUUGCCCUACAGAAGCUUUCAGUUUUAUGAAGUUAUGAUUAUCAACUAUCAAUGUUAGAGCCCUAGCCAUUGUUCUCUUCAAUAAAAUUUCUCCUAUGCCAA
Molecule: non-coding RNA, 4487 nt
Organism: Rattus norvegicus (Norway rat)
Lineage: Eukaryota; Metazoa; Chordata; Mammalia; Rodentia; Muridae
Source: RefSeq, a predicted model, not a curated record